RNAcentral lists this ribosomal RNA (468 nucleotides) under uncultured bacterium. RNAcentral describes it as "partial 16S ribosomal RNA". It matches the Rfam family "Bacterial small subunit ribosomal RNA", at positions 28 to 507 of the family's 1533-position model. The record is from RNAcentral.
GACGAACGCUGGCGGCGUGCUUAACACAUGCAAGUCGAACGGAAAGUCCCGGCUUUUGUGGGGUGCUCGAGUGGCGAACGGGUGAGUAACCCGUGAGUAACCUGCCCUUGACUUUGGGAUAACUUCAGGAAACUGGGGCUCAUAGCGGAUAGGAGCUCUUGCUGCAUGGUGGGGGUUGGUAAGUUUCGGCGGUUGGGGAUGGACUCGCGGCUUAUCAGCUUGUUGGUGGGGUAGUGGCUUACCAAGGCUUUGACGGGUAGCCGGCCUGAGAGGGUGACCGGCCACACUGGGACUGGGAUACGGCACAGACUCCAACGGGAGGCAGCAGUGGGGAAUAGUGCACAAUGGGCGGAAGCCUGAUGCAGCAACGCCGCGUGCGGGAUGACGGCCUUCGGGUUGUAAUCCGCUUUCGCCUGUGACGAAGCGUGAGUGACGGUAAUGGGUAAAGAAGCACCGGCUAACUACGUG